RNAcentral lists this ribosomal RNA (460 nucleotides) under uncultured bacterium. Its description in RNAcentral is "partial 16S ribosomal RNA". It matches the Rfam family "Bacterial small subunit ribosomal RNA", at positions 338 to 795 of the family's 1533-position model. The record is from RNAcentral.
CCUACGGGGGGCAGCAGUGAGGAAUAUUGGUCAAUGGGCGGAAGCCUGAACCAGCCAAGUAGCGUGCAGGAUGACGACCCUACGGGUUGUAAACUGCUUUUAUACGGGAAUAACGCGCCUUACGUGUAGGGCUUUGCAUGUACCGUAUGAAUAAGGACCGGCUAAUUCCGUGCCAGCAGCCGCGGUAAUACGGAGGGUCCGGGCGUUAUCCGGAUUUAUUGGGUUUAAAGGGAGCGUAGGCGGGAUGUCAAGGUUGCUGUGAAAUGUCCGGGCUCAACCCGGGCCUUGCAGCGCAUACUGGCGUGCGUGAGUACGGGGGAGGCAGGCGGAAUUCGUGGUGUAGCGGUGAAAUGCUUAGAUAUGACGAAGAACCCCGAUUGCGAAGGCAGCUUGCUGCAGCGGAACUGACGCUGAUGCUCGAAAGCGUGGGUAUCGAACAGGAUUAGAUACCCUGGUAGUC